This is a non-coding RNA of Gasterosteus aculeatus (three-spined stickleback), 77 nucleotides long. The record is from Rfam. Lineage: Eukaryota; Metazoa; Chordata; Actinopteri; Perciformes; Gasterosteidae.
UAGCUGGAAGGAUUCCUGGCAGAGUGAUUUUGUUGUGAUGUAAUGUAAAUCACAUUGCCAGGGAUUUCCAACCAGCU